This 253-nucleotide ribosomal RNA is filed under the name uncultured bacterium. RNAcentral describes it as "partial 16S ribosomal RNA". It matches the Rfam family "Bacterial small subunit ribosomal RNA", at positions 524 to 776 of the family's 1533-position model. The record is from RNAcentral.
UACGUAGGGCGCAAGCGUUAUCCGGAAUUAUUGGGCGUAAAGAGCUCGUAGGCGGUUUGUCGCGUCUGCCGUGAAAGUCCGGGGCUCAACUCCGGAUCUGCGGUGGGUACGGGCAGACUAGAGUGAUGUAGGGGAGACUGGAAUUCCUGGUGUAGCGGUGAAAUGCGCAGAUAUCAGGAGGAACACCGAUGGCGAAGGCAGGUCUCUGGGCAUUAACUGACGCUGAGGAGCGAAGGCAUGGGGAGCGAACAGG